This is a long non-coding RNA of Gadus morhua (Atlantic cod), 2223 nucleotides long. RefSeq lists it as uncharacterized. The transcript has 6 exons. Lineage: Eukaryota; Metazoa; Chordata; Actinopteri; Gadiformes; Gadidae. The record is from RefSeq and is a predicted model, not a curated record.
CACCCUGUGUCAGUAUAUGGUUUGGUUCAACGCUCGUAGUUUCCUCAUUCGAGGAAAACGAUCCGUAGCCUAUCUAACAUGCAUCUCUGCUCUAUAUUUCUUCAUGUUCUGUAUUUUCUUAAUUAUUGGUUCGUAGCCCUACAAGGGUCAGAACAUCAUACCUCUGCAGUUUUUUUGCUCAAAGGAAAGGAUUUAUUCAUGGAAAUAAAUACACAGAAACCCAACGGUCUCUUUUUAUGGCGCUUUAAACCCAAAAAAAUAGUAAGGCAUGAUUCCGAUGGGCGGACCCGGUUCUUUGACAAAAGGGCAAAGUUAUCCACAGAGAAUUACUCAUUACAAAUAGAAAACCUAAGAUUGAAUGACAGCGGAAAUUACCAAGCAGUAGAUAUGGGUGGUGAAGAAGAAAAAGUUAUUGCUGAAUACAACGUCACAGUUCAAGAGCGGGUAUCACCAGUGGUCCUGAAAGGGUUGUCUGGGUCUCCCAGUCGUGAAUCCUGUAAUGUGACCGUGACCUGUAGCACUCUGAGCUACUCCUUAAACUCCACCUUCACGUGCACCAAUCAAACCUGCUCUGGGGAUGGAGGAGACACAGCAGAAGUCAUGACCCCUGAUGUCCUGCUGCAACUCUACCUCUCAAAUGGUUUGAACGCCAUCUGCAACCAUAGCAACAAAGUCAGCUGGUCAAAUGCCACGAUGGAGAUAAAACCUCUGUGUUUUGAAGAUGAUGUAAUUCCUCACAUUGACCACCACCAAAGAAAAAAAAUAAUAAUCAUUUCUAGCUGUCUGGUGUGCUUCAUCAUUCUGGGUUGCAUUCUGGUUGCUCUUUACAAACGGAGGAAAAAUAAUAAACGGAAUAUCAAUUCUCGUGGUAGCGAUGACCGGAGUCCAAACGGUGACCAGUCUCCCACCGUCUACAGUAUGUUAGGACCCUCUUCUAUCCCUUUAGAACCCAUUCCCCCUCAAACAGCCGCUCCCGAAGGUAUUUAUGCCCAGGUUGACAAGCACGGACGUGCUUAGAAGGCUGCUGGUUCAAUCCCUGGCUACUAGGCUCGUUCCGACUAAUGUAGAUGUAUCUGGGGAAUACCUUCCAGGCGUUUCUUUCUAUCGAUGGAAAAUUUUCUUAAAUAUGAGCCAAACAACUUUUAACCCAAGUGGUUAUUUUUUUGAUACUUUGUUACCGUUUUGGGAACUGAACAACGUCGUUCACCUUAGAAAAGCGAAGUAAGACGAAGUGAGGGCCACAUGUAGCCUAUGGAGUCGGGCCCUCGCAGCGUCGUCGGAGCAGAAACCUGAUCCCUCCACGACGGGAGAAAGUAGGUCAAACACUGAAUAGUAAUUUUACCGUUUUAAACGACGUUUGUAUUUGUUUAGCCUAUGGUUUUGUAUUAAUUAUAUUGGUUGUUUUGUGACCAAGUAGGCCUAAUAUAUUGAAUUACGAUGUUUGGGUCAAGGCUAAAUGCUCGCCAGGUUUCUCCGCCCCCGACACACCAAUGAUUUCACACCAUUGACGUGAAGUGGAUCAUUUUUUUGGAUCCUUUCCAUGGCGAAAGUCUUUAGCACCUGUAACUGCAGAUUUUGUAAGCGUAGCCUACACUAAAGUCACAAAUGUGUAACAGUAAAUUUGGAGUCCUGAAUAUUUAUUUUGCAUGUACUUUUGUGACAAUAAUACCUUCAUAUAUUUUUGACCUUAAUUUAAUUCUAUAUGUGACAGGGCUAGCUUUGUGUCACUUUGCUGCACUUGUGGUAGCUUAACUUAACAUGCUGUUGGCGUAGUUCCUAAAAUGUCCUGCAGAGGGCAGUGAUGCGGCUCUUUAUGUUACAAAGCGGGAAACAUCCGAAUAAGAGUACAGGAUUGCAUGAUGGGAAACAACAAAGAUAAAACUAUAAUUAUAUUGCUAAUAGUCUUUAAAUUGUGUCUUUGGGAUAUGGAUAUCCGAAAGCUGAUUGCAGUUUGAUAGCCAAGCCGUUGUUCUUGUUUUGUGGUCAAAAAAAUGUUAAUACCAUCAUAUAGACUGUUAUGUGGGAGAAUGAGUACAGCACGAGAGCCGUGUACAACUCAUACUUACCUGGCAGGGGAGACACCAUGAUCAAGAAGGUGGUUCACCCAGGGCGAGGCUCAGCCAUUGCACUUCGGCUGUGCUGACCCGUGCGAAUUCCUCAAAUGUGGGAAUCUCGACUGCAUAAUUUGUGGUAGUGGGGGACUGCGUUCGCGCUCUCCCCUGA